CCAGGCCUAACACAUGCAAGUCGAGGGGUAACAAGAGGAAAGCUUGCUUUUCUUGUUGACGACCGGCGCACGGGUGAGUAACGCGUAUCCAACCUGCCUAUAACUAGGGAAUAACCUUGCGAAAGUAAGACUAAUACCCUAUGAUUUCCUUUGAUGACAUCAGAUUAGGAAUAAAGAUUUAUCGGUUAUAGAUGGGGAUGCGUCUGAUUAGCUUGUUGGCGGGGUAACGGCCCACCAAGGCAACGAUCAGUAGGGGUUCUGAGAGGAAGGUCCCCCACAUUGGAACUGAGACACGGUCCAAACUCCUACGGGAGGCAGCAGUGAGGAAUAUUGGUCAAUGGGCGAAAGCCUGAACCAGCCAAGUAGCGUGCAGGAUGACGGCCCUAUGGGUUGUAAACUGCUUUUAUACAGGAAUAAAGUUAGCCACGUGUGGUUAUUGUAGGUACGUAUAAUAAGACCGGCAUUC
This 466-nucleotide ribosomal RNA is filed under the name uncultured bacterium. RNAcentral describes it as "bacterial SSU rRNA". It matches the Rfam family "Bacterial small subunit ribosomal RNA", at positions 42 to 501 of the family's 1533-position model. The record is from RNAcentral.